Molecule: transfer RNA, 69 nt
Filed under: Ictidomys tridecemlineatus (thirteen-lined ground squirrel)
Lineage: Eukaryota; Metazoa; Chordata; Mammalia; Rodentia; Sciuridae
Description: Spermophilus tridecemlineatus (thirteen-lined ground squirrel) tRNA
Rfam family: tRNA
About the family: Transfer RNA (tRNA) molecules are approximately 80 nucleotides in length. Their secondary structure includes four short double-helical elements and three loops (D, anti-codon, and T loops).
Source: Rfam by way of RNAcentral
GGGGUUGUAGCUUAGUGGUAAAGCACAUGACUGGCAUGCAUGAGGCACUGGGUUUAAUCCUCAGCACCA